This is a long non-coding RNA of Lingula anatina, 815 nucleotides long. NCBI's taxonomy places the organism in Eukaryota, Metazoa, Brachiopoda, Lingulata, Lingulida, Lingulidae. The record is from RefSeq and is a predicted model, not a curated record.
AGAAUCCUAAAAUAUUACUGCUGGACGAAGCCACAAGUGCUUUGGAUGCUGAGAGUGAACACUUGGUUCAGGAUGCACUUGAGAAGCUGAUGGUAGGACGUACUGUGAUCACCAUAGCCCACCGCCUGUCCACCAUUAAGAAUGCAGACAGGAUAGCGGUGUUGGACGGAGGGAAAGUUGUAGAACUUGGUUCAUACUCUGAGCUCACUCAGUUAUCUAAUGGAGUGUUCAGGAAACUGGUGGAAAGACAGGCCAUUGUGAUUGAUGAUGAGAGUCUACAGAGCUGAUGUCUGCAUUGGCUUUAAGCAGUUGCCUUCGGGUGUCUUGCAUUUGGACAUUUUCUAUUUAAAUAGUGGUUUUUAUAGUCAAGUUUUACUGCUGGCAUUGGUUUUUAUUUGCUUUUCAGCAAAUUAGUACUCCAUUUGAGGUAAUAUGGUUAUCAAUCAUAAUCAUGGCAACUGAGAAUUUUAAUUUUACUACUAGCAACACAAACAGUAAAUUAAUGCUCCAUUUGGUGCAGUAGUAUAUUUAUGCAACCAUGGUAACCAAUGAUUUAUUAUAUAAUAGGAUAACUGCAAGGUUGGAGAAUAGGAAAUGGUUUGUAUUAUGUAAAAUUGUAAGGAUUGAAGUAACGUACGUAGAUAUGAUAAUGAUCAAAAUAAUUCAUGCUGAUAGUAUAAGACCUUGUUUUAGUUAAUUUAAAAGGGAAGUAUCUGAAACAGAUUUAAAUAAAAGAUAGUUAAAAAUAUUUUGCAAGAAAUGUUUCCGAGUGGUUGUGUAACAUCAAGUGAAUAAACUUGUGAUUUUUGAUACGA